This 483-nucleotide ribosomal RNA is filed under the name uncultured bacterium. Its description in RNAcentral is "bacterial SSU rRNA". It matches the Rfam family "Bacterial small subunit ribosomal RNA", at positions 29 to 507 of the family's 1533-position model. The record is from RNAcentral.
AUUGAACGCUGGCGGAAUGCUUUACACAUGCAAGUCGAGCGGCAGCGCGGGGCAACCCUGGCGGCGAGCGGCGAACGGGUGAGUAAUAUAUCGGAACGUACCCCGUCGUGGGGGAUAACACAGCGAAAGCUGUGCUAAUACCGCAUACGACCUGAGGGUGAAAGCGGGGGAUCGCAAGACCUCGCGCGAUGGGAGCGGCCGAUAUCGGAUUAGCUUGUUGGUGAGGUAAAGGCUCACCAAGGCGACGACCCGUAGCUGGUCUGAGAGGACGACCAGCCACACUGGAACUGAGACACGGUCCAGACUCCUACGGGAGGCAGCAGUGGGGAAUUUUGGACAAUGGGGGCAACCCUGAUCCAGCCAUUCCGCGUGAGUGAAGAAGGCCUUCGGGUUGUAAAGCUCUUUCAGCAGGAACGAAACGGUGGCCACUAAUACUGGCUACUAAUGACGGUACCUGAAGAAGAAGCACCGGCUAACUACGUG